CUUCUCUUGAGAGCGGCGGACGGGUGAGUAAUACCUAGGAAUCUGCCUGAUAGUGGGGGAUAACGUUCGGAAACGGACGCUAAUACCGCAUACGUCCUACGGGAGAAAGCAGGGGACCUUCGGGCCUUGCGCUAUCAGAUGAGCCUAGGUCGGAUUAGCUAGUUGGUGAGGUAAUGGCUCACCAAGGCUACGAUCCGUAACUGGUCUGAGAGGAUGAUCAGUCACACUGGAACUGAGACACGGUCCAGACUCCUACGGGAGGCAGCAGUGGGGAAUAUUGGACAAUGGGCGAAAGCCUGAUCCAGCCAUGCCGCGUGUGUGAAGAAGGUCUUCGGAUUGUAAAGCACUUUAAGUUGGGAGGAAGGGCAUUAACCUAAUACGUUAGUGUUUUGACGUUACCGACAGAAUAAGCACCGGCUAACUCUGUGC
RNAcentral lists this ribosomal RNA (429 nucleotides) under Pseudomonas sp. R2.g. Its description in RNAcentral is "bacterial SSU rRNA". It matches the Rfam family "Bacterial small subunit ribosomal RNA", at positions 83 to 508 of the family's 1533-position model. The record is from RNAcentral. Lineage: Bacteria; Pseudomonadati; Pseudomonadota; Gammaproteobacteria; Pseudomonadales; Pseudomonadaceae.